CACGCAGGCGGUUGUGCAAGUCUGGUGUGAAAGACCUGGGCUCAACUCAGGGGACGCGCUGGAAACUGCACGACUAGAAUCUUGGAGGGGGAGUUGGAAUUCCUAGUGUAGGGGUGAAAUCUGUUGAUAUUAGGAAGAACACCGGUGGCGAAGGCGAACUCCUGGCUGUAGAUUGACGCUGAGGUGCGAAAGCAUAGGGAGCAAACAGGAUUAGAUACCCUGGUAGUCUAUGCUGUAAACGAUGUGCACUUGGUGUUGGGCCGAUUAGGUUCAGUGCCGUAGCUAACGCGAUAAGUGCACCGCCUGGGGAGUAUGCCCGCAAGGGUGAA
RNAcentral lists this ribosomal RNA (329 nucleotides) under uncultured bacterium. RNAcentral describes it as "bacterial SSU rRNA". It matches the Rfam family "Bacterial small subunit ribosomal RNA", at positions 568 to 898 of the family's 1533-position model. The record is from RNAcentral.